Molecule: ribosomal RNA, 483 nt
Filed under: Afroagraecia sp. Kisarawe
Lineage: Eukaryota; Metazoa; Arthropoda; Insecta; Orthoptera; Tettigoniidae
Description: partial 16S ribosomal RNA
Rfam family: Archaeal large subunit ribosomal RNA
Source: RNAcentral
AAGUCGGGCCUGCCCACUGAGUAAUAGAAGGGCCGCGGUAUUUUCACCGUGCAAAGGUAGCAUAAACAUUAGUCUUUUAAUUGAGGGCUGGAAUGAAUGGUUUGACGAAGUAUUAACUGUCUCUUUAUUAUAUAUUGAAUUUAUCUUUAGAGUUAAAAGACUAAAAUACUUAUAUGGGACGAGCAGACCCUAUAGAGCUUUAUAUAGGUAUAAGAUAAAGUAUUUGAAGUUAAGUUUGUGUUUUUAUACUAUAUUAUGUUGGGGAGACAUAAAGAUUAAAGAAACUCUUUAUUUAUAUUUACAUUUAUUUAUGAUUACAUCAUCCAGUAUUAUUGAUAGAAAGAUAAAGUUACCUUACGGAUAUCAGCGUUUCCCCUUGAGAGUUCAUAUCGAAAGAGGAGUUUGCGACCUCGAUGUUGGACUAAAUGAAAGAUUAAAUGUACCAGUUAUAUUUAUAAGUCUGUUCGACUUUAUAAUUCUUAC